Molecule: ribosomal RNA, 508 nt
Filed under: uncultured bacterium
Lineage: Bacteria
Description: bacterial SSU rRNA
Rfam family: Bacterial small subunit ribosomal RNA
Source: RNAcentral
GCCAGAACGAACGCUGGCGGCGCGUCUUAAGCAUGCAAGUCGAACGGCAAGAGGUAGCAAUACCUCCUAGAGCGGCGGACUGGUGAGUAACACGUGGGUGACAUACCCUUCAGAUGGGGAUAGCUAUUAGAAAUAGUAGAUAAUACCGAAUACGAGCACAGGGGUUAGAGAUCUGUGAGGAAAGGAGCUAAGGCUCCGCUGAAGGAAUGGCCUGCGGCCCAUUAGCUAGUUGGUGAGGUAAGAGCCCACCAAGGCGAUGAUGGGUAUCCGGCCUUAGAGGGUGAACGGACACAUUGGGACUGAGAUACGGCCCAGACUCCUACGGGAGGCAGCAGCUAAGAAUAUUCCGCAAUGGACGAAAGUCUGACGGAGCGACGCCGCGUGGAUAGAAGAAGGCCGGAAGGUUGUAAAAUCCUUUUGAAACUGAAGAAUAAGCGUUGUAGGGAAUGACAGCGUGGUGACAGUUAGGUUUUGAAUAAGCAACGGCUAAUUACGUGCCAGCAGCUGC